Molecule: ribosomal RNA, 450 nt
Filed under: Triticum aestivum (bread wheat)
Lineage: Eukaryota; Viridiplantae; Streptophyta; Magnoliopsida; Poales; Poaceae
Description: partial small subunit ribosomal RNA
Source: RNAcentral
AUGGCAACCGGGCCCCAUGGAUCAUGGCGGUCCAACGAGACACCAAUGAUACCAAGCCCACUAUACACUUGCUCCUUCUGCCCUAGGACUUUCACAAACCUCCAGGCUCGUGGUGGACAUAUGACGAAACAUCGUCAAGAGGUCCUAGAGAAUAGGAGGAAGCAUGAGGAAUACAUGGCCAAAAAGUCCAAGGAGUUCUCGAUGGACCCACUAUCACCAAACAUGGCUUAUUGGAGAAGGUAUCGCAAGGGUAAGGAGAAGCCUGAAGAGAUUAUAUUUUUUCCAAUACAAAUGUCCAGGGAGUUAUCUGAAGAUGAUGGUGGAUCAAGCAAUGUCCCCAUGCCAUAUGGGAGUGUGGCAACUAAUACCUCUAUGAUGUUGACCGUGGAAGAUAAGGAGAAAGGAGAUCAAGACGAGAACCUGAGCAUUGAUCUUACAUUGAAGUUGUGA